UUGGUGUGAAUUGCAGAAUCCCGUGAACCAUCGAGUCUUUGAACGCAAGUUGCGCCCGAAGCCCUCGCGGCCAGGGCACGCCUGUCUGGGCGUCA
Molecule: ribosomal RNA, 95 nt
Filed under: Pleuropterus multiflorus (tuber fleeceflower)
Lineage: Eukaryota; Viridiplantae; Streptophyta; Magnoliopsida; Caryophyllales; Polygonaceae
Description: Fallopia multiflora partial 5.8S ribosomal RNA
Rfam family: 5.8S ribosomal RNA
About the family: 5.8S ribosomal RNA (5.8S rRNA) is a component of the large subunit of the eukaryotic ribosome. It is transcribed by RNA polymerase I as part of the 45S precursor that also contains 18S and 28S rRNA. Functionally, it is thought that 5.8S rRNA may be involved in ribosome translocation.
Source: RNAcentral